Juglans microcarpa x Juglans regia is the source of this 79-nucleotide small nucleolar RNA. RefSeq annotates it as small nucleolar RNA snoR64a. NCBI's taxonomy places the organism in Eukaryota, Viridiplantae, Streptophyta, Magnoliopsida, Fagales, Juglandaceae. The record is from RefSeq and is a predicted model, not a curated record. The transcript has a single exon.
AGAUUCUUGAUUGUUAGAAUGCUCGAACUUUGAUUUUGGGUGUGAUGAUCCAACAAUUUUGAAUAGGAAGAUCUGAUGC